AACGAACGCUGGCGGCAGGCUUAACACAUGCAAGUCGAACGCCCCGCAAGGGGAGUGGCAGACGGGUGAGUAACGCGUGGGAACAUACCCUUUUCUACGGAAUAGCCCUGGGAAACUGGAAUUAAUACCGUAUACGCCCUACGGGGGAAAGAUUUAUCGGGGAAGGAUUGGCCCGCGUUGGAUUAGCUAGUUGGUGGGGUAAAGGCCUACCAAGGCGACGAUCCAUAGCUGGUCUGAGAGGAUGACCAGCCACAUUGGGACUGAGACACGGCCCAAACUCCUACGGGAGGCAGCAGUGGGGAAUAUUGGACAAUGGGCGCAAGCCUGAUCCAGCCAUGCCGCGUGAGUGAUGAAGGCCUUAGGGUUGUAAAGCUCUUUCACCGAUGAAGAUAAUGACGGUAGUCGGAGAAGAAGCCCCGGCUAACUUCGUG
Molecule: ribosomal RNA, 431 nt
Filed under: uncultured bacterium
Lineage: Bacteria
Description: partial 16S ribosomal RNA
Rfam family: Bacterial small subunit ribosomal RNA
Source: RNAcentral